Molecule: ribosomal RNA, 496 nt
Filed under: uncultured bacterium
Lineage: Bacteria
Description: partial 16S ribosomal RNA
Rfam family: Bacterial small subunit ribosomal RNA
Source: RNAcentral
GAUGAACGCUGGCGGCGUGCCUAAUACAUGCAAGUCAAGCGAACAGACGAGGAGCUUGCUCCUCUGACGUUAGCGGCGGACGGGUGAGUAACACGUGGAUAACCUACCUAUAAGACUGGGAUAACUUCGGGAAACCGGAGCUAAUACCGGAUAAUAUAUUGAACCGCAUGGUUCAAUAGUGAAAGACGGUUUUGCUGUCACUUAUAGAUGGAUCCGCGCCGCAUUAGCUAGUUGGUAAGGUAACGGCUUACCAAGGCGACGAUGCGUAGCCGACCUGAGAGGGUGAUCGGCCACACUGGAACUGAGACACGGUCCAGACUCCUACGGGAGGCAGCAGUAGGGAAUCUUCCGCAAUGGGCGAAAGCCUGACGGAGCAACGCCGCGUGAGUGAUGAAGGUCUUCGGAUCGUAAAACUCUGUUAUUAGGGAAGAACAAAUGUGUAAGUAACUAUGCACGUCUUGACGGUACCUAAUCAGAAAGCCACGGCUAACUACGU